GGCCGGUUAGCUCAGUCACUUGAGCAUAGUGCUAUCAACACUAAGGUCGCGGGUUCAAUUCCCAUUCGGUCC
This 72-nucleotide transfer RNA is filed under the name Apaloderma vittatum (bar-tailed trogon). It matches the Rfam family "tRNA". From Rfam's summary of the family: Transfer RNA (tRNA) molecules are approximately 80 nucleotides in length. Their secondary structure includes four short double-helical elements and three loops (D, anti-codon, and T loops). The record is from Rfam by way of RNAcentral. Lineage: Eukaryota; Metazoa; Chordata; Aves; Trogoniformes; Trogonidae.